CACCCGAUUGGGAGGGGUUGCCUCUCCCUGUGUCCACACAUAUGCCUUGAGUUGCUCUUCAGUGAAUAUCACUUUUCCUUUCAUGUUUUUUCUACAUGCUAUUAUCUGUAUGAAAUGAAGACCAAGAAAGGAUGGGAAGAAGGAGAAGAAAAAUUUUGAUUUAUCUCAGAAACUAUACUCCGAAGUGAGAGUCCUGGUUGCAGCAUCCUUCACCGAAGCACGAAGCAGAAUCAAGCUGUUGCCAUGAAGCUUGUUUCAAGAGCUCAGAAAUACUCCAGGGACUCCUUUACUACUGCUUUUCAAAGAGGCCUUUUUUUCUCUCUUCUCCUUUUCCUGCAAAGAGGGUUAUAUCCAGUGCUCAAGGACAUGGGAUUAUCAGCCUAAGGCAUGAGUACAUGCUGUGGAAACAGAAAUAUGUAUGAAGGGAUGUAUGAAACCACAGAAUAAAUGGAAUCCACAUUCUUGAAGUAGCUACAACUCUACUUGAGGUCCCAAGGCACGUAGAUAGUACCUAUACAUCUCAUCAGGAACAUGGAUGGUUCUCUGCUAUCAGCUGAAGUGCUGUGACCACAAAACUGAAAAUUCCCAUUCUGUGUCCUUGCCAAUAAAGAAUGUCCAUCAGAGCACGCCCAGUAUCCUAGCUCCUUAUCCAGACUGUGCUUCUCAAUGUGACAAGGAAGACUGCAACCCUAUUUGCUUCUGAUAACCUUCCUAUGACUAAGGUAAGACAGC
This 732-nucleotide long non-coding RNA is filed under the name Homo sapiens (human). Its description in RNAcentral is "non-protein coding LINC02208:21". The record is from RNAcentral. Lineage: Eukaryota; Metazoa; Chordata; Mammalia; Primates; Hominidae.